AGUGAACGCUGGCGGUAGGCCUAACACAUGCAAGUCGAACGGCAGCACAGUAAGAGCUUGCUCUUACGGGUGGCGAGUGGCGGACGGGUGAGGAAUACAUCGGAAUCUACUUUUUCGUGGGGGAUAACGUAGGGAAACUUACGCUAAUACCGCAUACGACCUACGGGUGAAAGCAGGGGAUCUUCUGACCUUGCGCGAUUGAAUGAGCCGAUGUCGGAUUAGCUAGUUGGCGGGGUAAAGGCCCACCAAGGCGACGAUCCGUAGCUGGUCUGAGAGGAUGAUCAGCCACCCUGGAACUGAGACACGCUCCAGACUCCUACGGGAGGCAGCAGUGGGGAAUAUUGGACAAUGGGCGCAAGCCUGAUCCAGCCAUACCGCGUGGGAGAAGAAGGCCUUCGGGUUGUAAAGCCCUUUUGUUGGGAAAGAAAAGCAGCAGGUUAAUACCCCGCUGUUCUGACGGUACCCAAAGAAUAAGCACCGGCUAACUUCGUG
RNAcentral lists this ribosomal RNA (492 nucleotides) under uncultured bacterium. RNAcentral's name for it is "partial 16S ribosomal RNA". It matches the Rfam family "Bacterial small subunit ribosomal RNA", at positions 29 to 507 of the family's 1533-position model. The record is from RNAcentral.